CGAGGUGCGACGGCGGCGCCUGCGAGCCGAGGUGCGACGGCGGCGGCCGCGUCGUCUCCCUCCCUCCAUCCAUCCAUCCACUGCAGGUGAGUCCCGACGCCGCAGCUCUCCCCUUGCUGUGAUUGCAGCUUCGAUCUAUGGGUACAACUUCAGAUGUAGAAAAAAAAUUGGUGUAAAUGAGGGAUAAUCAGGUGUUCUUAGACUAGCUGUGCAACAGAUGGCAUUGCGGGAUCUAGUAUUUGGUUGAACACAUAAGCAAUUCGUUUCCUUUAUUACUGAUUAAUAAGGAACCAGAUAUCAAAUAAGUGGAAAAAGGGAUCAAAUUGUUAAGUUUCAUGGGGAAAUAAUCAUCUGACGUACACAAGCACCGUGUUCAACAUUGUUGCAUUGCCGAGUAGUAUCAGCUAGAGUGCUAUAGAUGGCACUCACAUACCGGUUGAGGUGAAUCAAGAAGCCAGAGUGGACUUCAUUAAUAGGGAUGGAGAAGUUUCGAUAAAUGUUUGCGCCAUAGUGGACAUGCAUGGCAGAUUCACCUAUGUGGGAGCCGGGAAGACGGAUGCAUGUCAUGACAUGGCGGUUCUACAAGAUUGUCAGGCGGAUCAAAGGUUUCCCGCAUCCACCACCAGGACGGUACUACAUGGCGGACUCGGGAUACAUGGAGCAACAAGGAUACAUGACUCCUUUCCGGGAUACUAGGUAUCAUAAGACACAUUUUAGGGGCAUUGAUGUUCGCACAUUAGAUCGUCAGGAGAAAAUAAACUACAUUCACUCGAAGCUACGCAAUGUCAUUGAGCGGAGGUUUGGGCAUCUGAAAGAGUGGUGGCAUAUCUUGGAAGGGGUUCUAUUUUUCAGGAGGGAAAAGCAAGCAUGGGUUAUCAUAUCCUGUUUUGCAAUGGCCAAUUAUUUGUGGCUGCGUAAGUAUGGAGAUGGUUCGACAUACGAUCCAUCAGAUUGGGUGGCGAUGAAUACUGCAACGAAUAUCUCAGUUCUGAGGGAGUUGGUAUCUAUUGCUGUGUGGCCUUCAUCAUGAGUAUUAAUUCGUUUCUAGUUUGCAAGUUUGAAACCAUUUGUAAUGUAAUGAACUACUAUUACAUUAAGUGAUGGGGAUAACUGAUGCGGGUCAUGGACAUGGAUACAUUCCCUCGAAGCUACGCAAUAUCAUUGAAGUGGCUGCUAUUUUCUAGCUUU
Panicum virgatum (switchgrass) is the source of this 1188-nucleotide long non-coding RNA. RefSeq lists it as uncharacterized. The record is from RefSeq and is a predicted model, not a curated record. The transcript is spliced from 2 exons. Lineage: Eukaryota; Viridiplantae; Streptophyta; Magnoliopsida; Poales; Poaceae.